UUUGCCUCAGUUGAGGCCACAUGGUGAGGCCACCAUGUACCUUUCCAGCUGAUAGCCAGGGCUGAGGUCCCAGCCAACACUGGCCACCUGAUGAAUGAAGAAGACAGACACCUCCACGUGGUCCCAGCCAUGGAACCACCCCCAGCUUUCAAGUCUUCCUAGCUGAGGCCCCUAGAUAUUGUGGAACAGAGAUAAGCCGUCACCCAGCAGGAAGAAGCUGUGGCUGACAUCAUAAUAGGCCUACAAAGUGUUUUUUUGCCAAGGGAAGCCCUUUGCCAGAACAGACCCCGGACUGUCCCCGCAGCAGUUGUGCUGGACAGGACCCACCAGGCUGGGAGCAGAACCGGUCUGUGUCCACCUCCAGCCACUUUUAAUUAAGAUUGUUCAACUACCUCACCUUCACCAGGAGGCAGGUAGUAAAGAGUAAAUCAUAAAUAGGAUUCACUAUGUGGCAAACACUAAUCCUCAAAAGAGUUUUGUGACACAGGCGCGAUUAUCAUCUUUUUACAGACGAGGCAGCACAUAGGUACCAAGGUUAAGGAUCAGAGUAACCAUGAAUUAGUGGUGAAUCUAAGGUAUGGGCCCAGGCUCUAAACAUUGGGCUGAGCUGCCUUUACUAGAGCAAACGAAUACACUGAAAUAACCAAGAGAGAGGAAGUCAAUGAAUCUCAAGUAGCAGGCUGACAGCCUGGCAGAAAGGAGAGGAAGUUAACAGAUACCCCAGCGAGCUACAAAGGCACCUGUCCUCCCAAUCCCACCCCCAAAGCUUGCUGUACGGACCAGCAACACCGAAGCCCAGGUCGCGACAGGUCUGGGCAGACGGCACGACGGUGCACAUGGAAGCAAGCACUUUAGACGGGGUGAUGUGGACACUCACAUAACUGACACACAGGAAGAAGGUGAGGCGUGAUUCCUAAAGCUGCCUGGUUGCCAGCGAGGACUCCCUGUACAGCUCCAGGAAAGCCCUUCUGCGAGCGCCUGAGCCCCCGGUUCCCCCACCGCC
Molecule: non-coding RNA, 1003 nt
Organism: Odocoileus virginianus texanus
Lineage: Eukaryota; Metazoa; Chordata; Mammalia; Artiodactyla; Cervidae
Source: RefSeq, a predicted model, not a curated record